UGCAUACAGUCACCUCAAGAUAGAUCUUUUUGCUGCUGCUCUUAUGGAUUUCAAUCUUCCUCAAAUCUUUUCAUUGAUUUCGGAACUUCUAUAUUCUUUGAGAUCAACAACGUCAUUUUGAGGAGCUAGACUAGGAACCCAAAUUUAAGCCCCUCAAAAUGAUGUCGUUUUGAUCCAUUUUUCAUGCUUCUAUUAUAGAUUAAGACUGG
Molecule: long non-coding RNA, 209 nt
Filed under: Carica papaya (papaya)
Lineage: Eukaryota; Viridiplantae; Streptophyta; Magnoliopsida; Brassicales; Caricaceae
Description: long non-coding RNA (CPAP_LNC005880)
Source: RNAcentral